UCACUUACCUGGACGGGGUCAACACUUGAUCAAGAAGACCAGUGGCCUAGGCUAGUGACCUUCACUGCACACUAAGGAAGGGUGCUUAGUCUAAAGUCCCCCAUGUGGGAGAGCCUGCGUUUGC
This 124-nucleotide small nuclear RNA is filed under the name Brassica napus (rape). Its description in RNAcentral is "snRNA U1". It matches the Rfam family "U1 spliceosomal RNA". From Rfam's summary of the family: U1 is a small nuclear RNA (snRNA) component of the spliceosome (involved in pre-mRNA splicing). Its 5' end forms complementary base pairs with the 5' splice junction, thus defining the 5' donor site of an intron. Lineage: Eukaryota; Viridiplantae; Streptophyta; Magnoliopsida; Brassicales; Brassicaceae. The record is from RNAcentral.